RNAcentral lists this unclassified non-coding RNA (324 nucleotides) under uncultured fungus. Its description in RNAcentral is "sequence contains ITS1". The stretch from base 1 to 107 matches the Rfam family "5.8S ribosomal RNA", at positions 50 to 154 of the family's 154-position model. The record is from RNAcentral. Lineage: Eukaryota; Fungi.
GAAAUGCGAUACUUGGUGUGAAUUGCAGAAUCCCGCGAACCAUCGAGUCUUUGAACGCAAGUUGCGCCCGAAGCCAUUAGGUUGAGGGCACGCCUGCCUGGGCGUCUCACGUUGCGGGCGGAUGUUGGCCCCCCGCGCGCGGUCGGCCCAAAAGCGAGUCCCCCGCGACCGAUGACGCGUCGCGACGAGUGGUGGUUGACAAACCGUUGCAUCGCCUCGCGCGCGCCCGGUCCGUCACGGGGGGCCUGUCGUGACCCUAUCGCGCCGCCGCCAAGGCGCUCCGAUCGCGACCUCAGGUCAGGCGGGGCUACCCGCUGAGUUUAA